Molecule: long non-coding RNA, 963 nt
Organism: Carassius auratus (goldfish)
Lineage: Eukaryota; Metazoa; Chordata; Actinopteri; Cypriniformes; Cyprinidae
Exons: 3
Source: RefSeq, a predicted model, not a curated record
GGCGCUGCGCUCAUCGCGAUGCUCCUCCUCAUCAUCAUCAUCUCUGCACGCUUGCGAUUCGUUUUUCCCCAGUUGCAUGCAUUCAGUGUUUGUAAUAACCACUAUGAACGGUGCAUUUACACUUUAGUCUGGCAUGAAGUAGCCUACUGAGAAGAUAAGCGAACCUAGAAUACAUGUGUCAAUGUUUGCUGUUAGGAUGAUCAGCUGAUUUCUCAGCAAAGCACGAGAGCUGCGCUUCUACGUUUUUUUUUUAAUACGGGAUUUUCCCAACGGAAAAAUAUAUGACCGAAGCAACUCAUUUUAAUUUGUCAGAAAAUGCCCCAUGCUUUCCGAAUUUAUCACCGCUUAUUUUCAUCAGGUAGUUAAUUUGAAAUCCGAGCGACGAGGAGCACGCGCGUCCACUCGCAGUGAGCAUUUCGCAUCUACCGCCUGAUAUUUCCAUCCCCUCCAUUGUUACUUCAAAUCUAACGGAACCUCUACCAGAGCCGGUGUUUGAUCCUUAUCACAUGCAAAGACUGAUCUCGUCAGCUUGCGUAACAUAGAGGAAGAUUUCAUCCUGAGAGCAUCUAAUUUGCUCUUUGUGCACGCGCCGUUUUGAGGACUUGAUCAGCUCGGAGCUCCAUCAUUCAUCACUCAUUGAUUGCUCCAGUGAAGCUCUGAUUUCUCUGGUGUGCCCGAGGGAAAGAUUGAGAUGGAUUGGCGGUUGCAGGGAAUCCCCUGGAGAUGAGCAAAUGCACCCCAUCUGCUGCUUUGAACCAUUAUAUAUAGACGAACAGAGGCACCACAGACGACCACCCCCGUACAACACCAAUGACCUUCACCAUUGAUCCAUUUAUUGUUGUGUCUCAGAUUCUGUAAUGGAAAAUAGAGGUGAGUAUUUAUUGCCGUACUUUGCCUGGCCUUGAUACUAAUGAUGCUGAAUAAUUGAGAAGAAACGUUCCAUUUUGAUUAACAUUGAUUAAG